This 274-nucleotide unclassified non-coding RNA is filed under the name Thanatephorus cucumeris. Its description in RNAcentral is "partial ITS2". The record is from RNAcentral. Lineage: Eukaryota; Fungi; Basidiomycota; Agaricomycetes; Cantharellales; Ceratobasidiaceae.
GAAAUCUUCAAAGCAAACCUUUUGUUAAUUCAAUCGGUCUCUUGCUUUGGUAUUGGAGGUCUUUGCAGCUUCACACCUGCUCCUCUUUGUUCAUUAGCUGGAUCUCAGUGUUAUGCUUGGUUCCACUCGGCGUGAUAAGUUAUCUAUCGCUGAGGACACCGUAAAAAAGUGGCCAAGGUAAAUGCAGACGAACCGCUUCUAAUAGUCCAUUGACUUGGACAAUUAAAUUUUUAUGAUCUGAUCUCAAAUCAGGUAGGACUACCCGCUGACUUAA